Ribozyme from Parambassis ranga (Indian glassy fish), 308 nucleotides. It matches the Rfam family "Nuclear RNase P". Rfam says of the family: Ribonuclease P (RNase P) is a ubiquitous endoribonuclease, found in archaea, bacteria and eukarya as well as chloroplasts and mitochondria. Its best characterised activity is the generation of mature 5'-ends of tRNAs by cleaving the 5'-leader elements of precursor-tRNAs. NCBI's taxonomy places the organism in Eukaryota, Metazoa, Chordata, Actinopteri, Ambassidae. The record is from Ensembl.
GUGGGCGGAAGCUCAUUGUAGAGGUCACAUGCUGAGUGUUCGUCACUCCACCAAUCACCUCGGGGAAGGUCUGAGACAAGAGCCAAUCAUCACCCCUGCAGGGUGUCACCUGACUCAGGUGAGCGAGUGAACAGAAAGAAUGGGUCCGUCGGCAGGUCGUUGCAGGAGAAACUGGCAGGUGCAGCUCUCCAGCGCCCCAAGGUGGAUGUGACGCCGACCGACUUGGAAUCGCUCGCGGCUGGCAGAUGAGUGCGAUGUAUGAGGUGGGGCACAGCUCCAGAACCCAAUUCAGACUACUCUCCACCCAC